Molecule: transfer RNA, 83 nt
Filed under: Paenibacillus selenitireducens
Lineage: Bacteria; Bacillati; Bacillota; Bacilli; Caryophanales; Paenibacillaceae
Rfam family: tRNA
About the family: Transfer RNA (tRNA) molecules are approximately 80 nucleotides in length.
Source: Rfam by way of RNAcentral
GGAGGCUUAGCUCAGCUGGGAGNAGCUGGGAGAGCAUCUGCCUUACAAGCAGAGGGUCAGCGGUUCGAUCCCGUUAGCCUCCA